CAGCAGCCGCGGUAAUACGUAGGUCCCGAGCGUUGUCCGGAUUUAUUGGGCGUAAAGCGAGCGCAGGCGGUUAGAUAAGUCUGAGGUUAAAGGCUGUGGCUUAACCAUAGUACGCUUUGGAAACUGUUUAACUUGAGUGCAAGAGGGGAGAGUGGAAUUCCAUGUGUAGCGGUGAAAUGCGUAGAUAUAUGGAGGAACACCGGUGGCGAAAGCGGCUCUCUGGCUUGUAACUGACGCUGAGGCUCGAAAGCGUGGGGAGCAAACAGGAUUAGAUACCCCUGUAGUCCCUGUCUCUUAUACA
This 301-nucleotide ribosomal RNA is filed under the name uncultured bacterium. RNAcentral's name for it is "partial 16S ribosomal RNA". It matches the Rfam family "Bacterial small subunit ribosomal RNA", at positions 509 to 808 of the family's 1533-position model. The record is from RNAcentral.